AACGCACAUUGCGCCCACUGGUAUUCCGGUGGGCAUGCCUGUCUGAGCGUCAGUAUAAUCUCAAGCAACCGCUUGGUAUUGGAAGAUGAGCUGCCUAGCAGUUCACUUCUUAAACUGAUUGGCAAGUUUACAUAGCAGCAAGCGUAGUAGAAAUACCAUCAGCUUAGUUACUCUGUAUAGCUUUGUCAAAAUCAAACUAUUUUUAAGGUUUGACCUCAGAUCAGGUAAGGAUACCCCCUGAACUUAA
Molecule: unclassified non-coding RNA, 247 nt
Filed under: uncultured Ascomycota
Lineage: Eukaryota; Fungi; Ascomycota
Description: sequence contains ITS2
Rfam family: 5.8S ribosomal RNA (bases 1-52)
Source: RNAcentral